UCUUUCUGUCAGGAUCUGCGGGGCGACUGCAGAGCUCCCCCCAGGCAGGCUGCCCUGGUUACCUGUGUGCGAGCUUCAGGGCAGAGGGGGAGAGGGGCACGAGCUGCCCCCAAACCGGGGGCGGGGGAGGAGGGCGGGCGAAGGGCUGAAGGAGACGCAAGCCGACUGUAAAUGCGAGAAUAAAACGAAGAGGAGCAGCUCGCCGAGUGGCUUCGGGGGCGUGCGGCUGGCCCGCUCAGAGCCGAGCAACAGCCAGCCGAGCCGCGACGCGAAGGCCGCUCAGGCCCCGGCCGCUCUGCCCAGCAGGGCAAAGACAACGGCUGAAAACUUUCUUUGGCAACCAGGAGACGAGCCCCUGACUACAAAGGGACGUGGAGGGAUGAGUAACCAAUGCAGAUGGUUUUAGCGUCAUGAAUCGUCCAGAAUCUGCUGAUUUGUGGGAGAGAAACCUCCGGCCACUUCCCCAGGAAGAAGGGGAAGCCCCUGAACCUGAAUGAAAGACUGCAUCAGAAAUUCCACCACUGCAGAUGGAAUUUCCUACAUGGAAAUAACCUGGGCACGGGAUGGCGUGGCCCUAUGUUAUCUAGCAAGGUAAUACAAAACUGAGUCACUGUAAAUUGGUGUCUAUCAGCAGUGACAGAUUCAUUAUGAUGUCAUCAUUGGGCUUCCAACAUAAAAUCAACAUAACUUAGGACAGUGGCAAGAAGAAUCCUCGCUCUCUGCAGACUUCCAAGUCCUGGAGAAUAGUGAGCAGAGAACAUGCUACAGCAGUGCAGGCUUCAUGGAUCAUCCUCACAGCUACGUUAUGUACCUGCAAUUUCCUCCAAAAUGGCAUUUAUGCUGUUCAUAACAUGCACAACUGAGCAACCAGAAAGCUGUAAAUAUCACUGCUGCAGGAGCAUAUUUUGCACUAAUAAGGGACUGUCCAGUUUGGCCGAUGUACAUAGCAGAGGGGCAUUGCUGGCACAUGAUGGCAUAUAUUACAUUGGUGAAUGUGCAGGUGAAUGAACCGGUGAUGGCGUGGCUGAUCUGGUUAGGUCCUGUGAUGGUGUCGCUGGUGUAGAUAUGUGGGCAGAAUUGGCAUCAAGGUUUGUUGCAUGGAUUGAUUCCUGAGUUAGAGUUACUAUGGUGCGGUGUGUAGUUGCUGGUGAGAAUAUGCUUCAGGUUGGCGGGUUGUUUGUGGGCGAGGACUGGCCUGCCUCCCAAGGCCUGUGAAAGUGAGGGAUCGUUGUCCAGGAUGGGUUGUAGACCAAACAUUAUAAUCAAAGAGGCUGAUAAAGGAGGUGCUGUUUUCAUCAUGAACAGGUCUGACAUUCACCUGCACGUCAGUUAGUCUAUAAGGUGCCACAGGACUCUUUGCCGCUUAUGUAUUUCAAGAGAUUCAUUACAUGGUGCCCAACUUCUAAAAAUUCAGCCUUAAAAACAACUUUUAAAGAAGAUAUUGCAAUUAUGAAUAAUAGCAGGGAAAUAUGAAAUGGAAAAUUAGGAGUUUAAGUACUAAUUACAGUUUGUUUAUUUUUCCAUUUGGUUUGGCAAUUCUGACUAUCUUUCACUGUACAAUAUCUGAGGUCAAUUAGGAUUCAGCUGAUCUUGGAGUCAGUUGACACUGAUUAUAAUUAGAUGGAGUAAAGGGAAGAGGAUGAUGUUUUCUCUUUCUCCCUCAUUAGGGCUAACUGGCUGAGCUAGUUUUAUUGCUAUCUUAAAGGCAGUAAAAAAGGUCAUGUGACUGUUUCCCAAAUGAAUUGUUUUGAAAAAUGCUGUUGUCUUUUUAUGGACACAUCCAUCCCUGGGAUGUAUAAACAGUUCUUAUUAAAAUUAAAAGUGUGGAAUUUGUCUUUGUUAGCAGUCAAAAUGGGCCGUUUAUUUAGUUGAAUCCCACCCAUCCAGCUCUUGAACUGUGAGGAUUCAGAUCAAAUAGAUCCCUGCUCAUAACUACUGAGUCUAAUUUUGCAGAAACCUGGACUACAAGAGUUGGAAAGAUCAAAAACAAACUCAGCUUCCCCCCCUCUUACCUUUACUUAAUCAUCAUUGCCCUAAACUACUAUCAUCUACUUAAAUUUCCCCACAUCAGAUCUUAGGAACCACAACCUGAAACAUUCCAGCUUGGUGUCAAUUUUGCAAAACAAAACCACAGCCAGCAAGACUUUGUGAAACUGAAAAACUGCCUGAAGUUUUGUGUUUAGCUGACAAGAAUGAAAGUGUCUGUCUAAUGAUUCAUUACUGCAUUAAGCAAAAGGCAUACAGCUCAAAGAAAGCAAAUAGACGGUCACACUGACCCCAGUUUCAGAAAUUUAAAAUGCCACUUCACCAAUUCAUUUGUCUCUAUGUUAUCUCUGUAAGAAGCUAACCUUGUUUUGUAAGUAUAUUUGUAAUCUACUUAAUUAUAGGUUUAUAAAUA
Molecule: long non-coding RNA, 2398 nt
Organism: Caretta caretta (loggerhead turtle)
Lineage: Eukaryota; Metazoa; Chordata; Testudines; Cheloniidae
Source: RefSeq, a predicted model, not a curated record